CCUUUAGAAAUCAAGCAUAUUGUUAAAAUUUUAAUGCCUUUUCAGUUGCACAUAUGCUGAACCGUAGUGCGCGAAAUAUUGAUGGGGUGCAUAUAUUAGAAAAAGGAGACCUUUAGAAAUUGAAAUAACGUUUAAACAAAAGAUUGUCUGCUCCUGGGAACAAUCUGUCAUGCAUACUGUACGUAGAUCGCAUGUUACGCACUCGUGGGCUUAGCAAAGUGCUCCAGGAUUCAAAUUAUAACAAUGGUUGAUUUCUAAAGGUCUCCUUUUUCUAAUAUUGAUGAAUAUUUCACGCACCACGGUUCAGCAUAUGUGCAAUUGA
Molecule: long non-coding RNA, 322 nt
Filed under: Paramuricea clavata
Lineage: Eukaryota; Metazoa; Cnidaria; Anthozoa; Malacalcyonacea; Plexauridae
Source: RNAcentral